UGUCCGUUAGCUCAGUUGGUAGAGCGCCAGUCCCACUUGUAUGUUUACAAGCUGGAAGUCACAGGUUCGAGUCCUGUACGGGCUA
Halocaridina rubra (Hawaiian volcano shrimp) is the source of this 85-nucleotide non-coding RNA. The record is from the annotation of a GenBank genome assembly. Lineage: Eukaryota; Metazoa; Arthropoda; Malacostraca; Decapoda; Atyidae.